This 482-nucleotide ribosomal RNA is filed under the name uncultured bacterium. RNAcentral describes it as "bacterial SSU rRNA". It matches the Rfam family "Bacterial small subunit ribosomal RNA", at positions 30 to 507 of the family's 1533-position model. The record is from RNAcentral.
AUUGAACGCUGGCGGAAUGCUUUACACAUGCAAGUCGAACGGUAGAGGGGGCAACCCCUUGAGAGUGGCGAACGGGUGAGUAAUAUAUCGGAACGUGCCCAGUCGUGGGGAUAACGUAGCGAAAGUUACGCUAAUACCGCAUACGAUCUACGGAUGAAAGCGGGGGGACUCGCAAGAGCCUCGCGCGAUUGGAGCGGCCGAUAUCAGAUUAGGUAGUUGGUGGGGUAAAGGCUCACCAAGCCAACGAUCUGUAGCUGGUCUGAGAGGACGACCAGCCACACUGGAACUGAGACACGGUCCAGACUCCUACGGGAGGCAGCAGUGGGGAAUUUUGGACAAUGGACGCAAGUCUGAUCCAGCCAUUCCGCGUGCAGGAUGAAGGCCCUCGGGUUGUAAACUGCUUUUGUACGGAACGAAAAGGUUUCUCUUAAUACGAUGAGCUCAUGACGGUACCGUAAGAAUAAGCACCGGCUAACUACGUG